GUCACACUGAGCCUGCAGUCCUGGCAGUCGGAGGAGCCAGAGUGGGCAGGGAUGUGUCCAUUAGCACCACCUGCCUCUUGAGUGUCUUCCAGGUGAUCAUGGCACAAGCAGAGAGUUCAACACAUUCACAGGAACAAUCUCUCCCCCAGAUCAUCCCCUGAGUCCAGGGCUACCCAAAGCAUCCUUGUCCUG
Microcebus murinus (gray mouse lemur) is the source of this 192-nucleotide non-coding RNA. The record is from RefSeq and is a predicted model, not a curated record. NCBI's taxonomy places the organism in Eukaryota, Metazoa, Chordata, Mammalia, Primates, Cheirogaleidae.